Fusobacterium varium ATCC 27725 is the source of this 100-nucleotide non-coding RNA. It matches the Rfam family "Bacterial small signal recognition particle RNA". From Rfam's summary of the family: The signal recognition particle (SRP) is a universally conserved ribonucleoprotein involved in the co-translational targeting of proteins to membranes. Archaeal SRP consists of a 7S RNA and homologues of the eukaryotic SRP19 and SRP54 proteins. The record is from Rfam. Lineage: Bacteria; Fusobacteriati; Fusobacteriota; Fusobacteriia; Fusobacteriales; Fusobacteriaceae.
UCUGAGGAAUCUCAUGGCGUAAUAUUAUCGAACCGUGUCAGGUCUGGAAGGAAGCAGCACUAAGGUAUUUAUUACGGGUAUGAGUUAAAACUUCUUUCAG